UACGUAGGGGGCAAGCGUUGUCCGGAAUCAUUGGGCGUAAAGAGCGCGUAGGCGGCCCGGUAAGUCCGCUGUGAAAGUCAAAGGCUCAACCUUUGAAUGUCAGCGGAUACUGCCGGGCUAGAGUCCGGAAGAGGCGAGUGGAACUCCUGGUGUAGCGGUGGAAUGCGCAGAUAUCAGGAAGAACACCAACGGCGAAGGCAGCUCGCUGGGACGGAACGGACGCUGAGGCGCGAAAGCGUGGGGAGCGAACAGG
This 253-nucleotide ribosomal RNA is filed under the name uncultured bacterium. RNAcentral describes it as "partial 16S ribosomal RNA". It matches the Rfam family "Bacterial small subunit ribosomal RNA", at positions 524 to 776 of the family's 1533-position model. The record is from RNAcentral.